GGCAUUCCCAAACAACAGAACUUAAGAACAUUGAUCAUAACCAUAAGCGAGGAACACGUUCCAGAAGCAUGUCGCACCACAGAACAAAACGAAAUAUAAAGUAUCAUUUUACGAAAUAAACCACUAAAAUCAUUUCCCAAAAAACACACAUUAAAGUAACGAGAACAAGACAAUACAGAAAGAAUUAGACCUUUAUUGCUGCGUUUUCCAUAACGUAUACAAUUAGAGAAGCCUCUGAUACAAUGAACCAACAAGCGAGCUAAUGACCUGAACCUCGAACCGGCAACUGAGCUUCGAACAGAUAGCGACGACCUCAACGACUCGAUGACUGCAAACCUUUCACAUUCUGUCCCUAUUUCUCCUACUUUUUCGGCCAGUCAUGGUAGAAGCAGAUGUGAGAUGGUGGAACGGUAGCUGUGUGUGUGUGCACGCUCGUCGGUUUCAAUGACAAGUCGUCGGAGUUACGAGAUGAGGAAGAAGCAGUUGCUGGUCUGUUCAAGUUCGGCUGUCCUCAGUUGUGUCUAUAGGUCCCCUAUGUCUUUUUUUUCAAAUGAAGUAGAAAAGCCUGCUGGUUUCAGGGAUGGGGGGUUCGAAGAAGAAGGAGUUCAGACGGGGGCUCCUUUUUUUUGCACUGUUGCGGCGCUACUUCUUCACUUAAGAUUUUGUUCCCUACUUCAUGAAGAAGAAGAGAAUAGAAGCAGCGUAUCUCUCCCCCCAAAUCAUUGUGGCGGUCCC
This 735-nucleotide long non-coding RNA is filed under the name Nicotiana benthamiana. RNAcentral describes it as "long non-coding RNA (NBEN_LNC004146)". Lineage: Eukaryota; Viridiplantae; Streptophyta; Magnoliopsida; Solanales; Solanaceae. The record is from RNAcentral.